This 576-nucleotide ribosomal RNA is filed under the name fungal sp. GBf23. RNAcentral describes it as "eukaryotic LSU rRNA". It matches the Rfam family "Eukaryotic large subunit ribosomal RNA", at positions 36 to 625 of the family's 3401-position model. The record is from RNAcentral. Lineage: Eukaryota; Fungi.
UUGCAUAUCAAUAAGCGGAGGAAAAGAAACCAACAGGGAUUGCCUCAGUAACGGCGAGUGAAGCGGCAAAAGCUCAAAUUUGAAAUCUGGCUCUUUCAGGGUCCGAGUUGUAAUUUGUAGAAGAUGCUUUGGGUGUGGCUCCGGUUUAAGUUCUUUGGAAUAUUACAUCACAGAGGGUGAGAAUCCCGUAUGUGACCGGUUGCCUCGCUCGUGUAAAGCUCUUUCAACGAGUCGAGUUGUUUGGGAAUGCAGCUCUAAAUGGGUGGUAUAUUUCAUCUAAAGCUAAAUACUGGCCAGAGACCGAUAGCGCACAAGUAGAGUGAUCGAAAGGUGAAAAGAACUUUGAAAAGAGAGUUAAACAGUACGUGAAAUUGUUGAAGGGGAAGCGCUUGCAACCAGACUUGGACUUAGUUGAUCAACCGGUGUUCUCACCGGUGCACUCUGCUAUGUACAGGCCAGCAUCGGUUUUGGUGGUUGGAUAAAGGCCGUGGGAAUGUGGCUCCUCUCGGGGAGUGUUAUAGCCCAACGGUGCAAUGCAGCCUAUCCGGGACCGAGGACCCGCGCUUCGGCUAGAUG